Molecule: ribosomal RNA, 253 nt
Filed under: uncultured bacterium
Lineage: Bacteria
Description: partial 16S ribosomal RNA
Rfam family: Bacterial small subunit ribosomal RNA
Source: RNAcentral
UACGUAGGGACCAAGCGUUGUUCGGAUUUACUGGGCGUAAAGGGCGCGUAGGCGGCAAUUCAAGUCAGCUGUGAAAUCUCCGGGCUUAACUCGGAAAGGUCAACUGAUACUGCGGGGCUAGAGUGCAGAAGGGGCAACUGGAAUUCUCGGUGUAGCGGUGAAAUGCGUAGAUAUCGAGAGGAACACCUGCGGCGAAGGCGGGUUGCUGGGCUGACACUGACGCUGAGGCGCGAAAGCUAGGGGAGCGAACGGG